GCUGCUUGAUAAUGUCAUCAAACAUGUUUCCAUCUUAUAUAGAAAGACAGUACGCAAAAUUAAAGUGUUUCCUUGAAACAGCUUUUGAUGCUAUGUUGCUUUUCUUCAUGGCAUAUCAUUAUUAAAAGUGGCUACGAAU
RNAcentral lists this small nucleolar RNA (139 nucleotides) under Sorex araneus (European shrew). RNAcentral describes it as "Small nucleolar RNA SNORA15 (ENSSARG00000019483.1)". The record is from RNAcentral. Lineage: Eukaryota; Metazoa; Chordata; Mammalia; Eulipotyphla; Soricidae.